This 10041-nucleotide long non-coding RNA is filed under the name Solanum tuberosum (potato). RNAcentral's name for it is "long non-coding RNA (STUB_LNC007691)". Lineage: Eukaryota; Viridiplantae; Streptophyta; Magnoliopsida; Solanales; Solanaceae. The record is from RNAcentral.
UUGAUCCUGGUAUAUAAAUUGAACGAUUUAUAUCCGUUACAUACUCAGCUUGUUCAUUCUGAAGUUCAAAUACUAUUCUCCCUUCUUCAUAGCUACUCCCAAAUGCAGUUCGAGAAAUGACUUCAGCGGUCAUUAAUUGAAGGUCUGGCCAUACAUCGAGCUCGAAUGAUGUUUCCUUGGGAAUAAUCUCCUCCCAUUUGCUUAUUAUUUCACUACAACUCUGAUAAAAUGCUGGCAACAUAUGCUGUACAAAACAAAUUAAUCGCAAAAACCAGUACUAGUUAUCAGUAGCAGAGCUACAUAUAUUGAAGGGGCCUCAAUUGAAACCCCUUCUUCGGGAAAUUAACUACUGGAAUUGGGUAACAACAAUUGUUUUUGGGCAUAUAGAUAUAAAUUUUUGAAUCCCUUCAUAAUGUUAAAUUUACCAAUGUUUUCUAUAUUUAUUAGUAAUAAGAAUAUGAAGUGAAUAUAACCUUUAACUUCUCAGUUUGGAAAGCAGGAUUGAUGAUUUUUCGGUGUUUGGCCCAUUUAUCUUCCUCAAGCUUCGCAAGACCUAUAGCCAAUAACUUGGAAAAUGGAUUGGGAUGAGUUUCCUUUUGGUACACAUAAUUCUUUGUGAAAAUCUCCUUUACAUGUUCAGGAUCUGUAAUCAACACUACUGGAUAUGGGCCUAGCCACACAAAAGAACUUUUACCUGAGAGUAAUCAAUUUUCGAUUAGAAAAAAGAAACAGCAUAAUUCAUAAACACUCCAACUUCAGUCCAAUAAAUAUUUCACUGUGUAUUCGGUUAAAUAUUAAAAUUCAUAGAUUUGAAAUCUUGGAUCUGUCUCUACUUGGAGUUCGCGACCUCUUUCAUGGAUGGAGCUAGGGUACCAAAAAGUGAUUCAUCUGGAUUCUCUUUAGAAAAAAAUUACACCAUACAUAUAUACAAGAAUAGAAUUUUUUUACUGUUUUAAAGAAGAAUAAAAGAAAAUACCAUUUUUGUUGAUGGAGUCACAGAAAAAAGGGAUGAGCCUUUGGGCUAUAUCAUCAGAGAAAUUGAUAGGCUUAGAUUUGGCUUCAUUGAGUUUAUUUGUGAAUUCCUUCAAAUCUCCAUGGUAUAAUUUGUAUGGAUUUCCCUUAAGACCACUCUUUCUUAAGUAUUUUUCAAGUUUCUUUGGCUUUAACCAUGCCCAAUUCAACACUCUCCAUGUAUAUACCAACAAAACUGCAACACAAAUUGCUUCUAUAAUUCUGUUGUAAGAAAUCUUCAUGAAAUUAAUGACAGUCUUCUUUUUAGCUGCUUUCUUUCAUUGUUGGAUCCGCCUCCUCUCCAUUUUUCCAAAGUCCUUUCUUUGACUGGGACAUGUGGCAUAGGUUAGAUUUAAUGCUAUAAUUUAAUUAACCAAAGAAAGUCCUUCACUAUGGUUCUGAUAAUAAAUACAUACUUAGUUCCAAAUAUUAUUGUUAUCUCACAAUUUUAGCACCAUAUUAGUAUUUUGUCCAUAAAUAUAGUAAAAAAUAAAAGGCAUAAUACAUAAACAUGUCCUUUAACUGAAAUCUAUGCCCUUCAACUUUGGGUGUGCGCACAAGUAGACACUUAACUUGCAUAAAAUUAAACAAAUAUAACACAUCCUACAUGACAUAAUACACGUAGGACGCCACAUAGGACACAAAAUUGUCAUGUAUGACGUCACGGAAGACGAAUGUGUCUAUUUAUUUAAUUUUAUACAAGUUUAAGUGUCUACUUGUGCACACUCAAAGUUGGAGGGCAUAGAUGCAAGUUGAAGCCAAGUAAAUGGCAUAUUUAUGCAUUAUGCCUAAUUCAUGUAAAUUGUUCCCUAAAUACAAAAAAAAUCCUCUAAAAAUGCUAAGGUUGUACAUACUGUUCCGUCAAAUCCCUACGGAGGGUUCCAUAAAGAUUUCACAAAAAAUUUAUCCGGAAAUCACAUCACCAAAGUAUUUAUGAGGUAACACACAAAAUACUGAGAAAAUCACCUAGUUUUUAUAAAUUGGACUCUAAAUGCCCAAAAAUCACUCUAAAAAUGGUGAGACUGUACGUACUACUCCCCCAACUCCCUACGGAGGGUUUCAUAAAAGUUUCGCAAAAAAAUCUUUCAAAAGUCAUAUAACCAAAUAUUGUCAGCUAACACACACGAAAAACUUAGAAAAAUCACCUAAUACUUGUAAAUUGACCCCUAAAUGCCCAAAAAUCACUCUAUAAAUGGUGUGAUUAUACUUACUACAACCUCAACUCCCUACGAAGGGUUCCAUUAAGAUUUUGCAAAAAAUUCAUCCGAAAGCCAUAUUACUAAAAUAUUCAUGUGCUAACAUACACAAGAAAAUUGCCCGAUUUCUAUAUAUUGGUCCCUAAAUACCCAAAAAUCACUCUAAAAUUAGUGAGACUCUAUGUACUGCUCCCCAACUCCCUACAGAGGGUUUAAUUAAGAUUUCGUAAAAUUUCGUCCCGAAGCUAUGUCACAAAAAUAUUCAUGUGCUUAACACACGUGAAAAAUUGAGAAAAUUGUCUAAUCCUGUUAAUUAGUCCCUUAAUGCCCAAAAAUAACUCUAAAAAUGGUGAGAUUGUACAUACUGCUCCCCCAACUCUCUACGAAGGGUUCCAUAAAGGUUUCGCAAAAAAAAUCAACUAGAAGUCAUAUCACCAAAAUAUUCAUGUGCAAACAUACACAAAAACUGAGAAAAUUUUCUGAUUCCUAUAUAUUGGUCCCUAAAUACCCAAAAAUUACUCCAAAAAUAGUGAGACUCUACGUACUUCUCCCCAACUCCAUAUGGAGGGUUUAAUAAAGGUUCCGUAGGAAAUUCGUCCAGAAGCCAUAUCACAAAAAUAUUCAUGUGCUAACACACAUGAAAAACUGAGAAAAUUGCAUAAUCUUGUUAUUUGGCCCCUAAAUGCCCAAAAAUGAUUCUCAAAAUGGUGAGAUUGUACUUACUGCUCCUCCAACUCUCUAUGGAGAGUUCCAUAAAGGUUUCACAAUUUUUUUUCUCAAAGUCAUAUCACCAAAAUAUUCAUGGCUAACUAAUAUAGACAAAAAACUGAGAAAAUAUCCUAAUUCAUGUAAAUUGGACCCUAAAUGCCCAAAAAUCAUUCUAAAAAUGGUGACACUGUACGUAACUUCUCCCCUGACUCCUUACGGAGGAUUCCCUAAAGGAUUCGCAAAAAAGGUUUUUUCGGAAGUCAUAUCACCAAAAUAUUCAUGUACGUCACACACAAAAAAAGGAGUUUUGGACGUUGAAUCCUAGUUUUUCACCGUAGUGUUUACCCACAUCUUGGUUUGAUAUAAACACAGGGGUGUGAGUCAUGAAAUUUUGCUGAUUUAAUCAGUUUUUCUCCUUGUAAGUAGAAAUAAACUUGCAGGACUGAGAGAGAACAAUCUAUAUGCACAAGACAUAAAGGCUUGACUUGCAUAAUUAGGAAUCACUGAUGUAAGCUCUUCACGAGACACGAUGGAGCAUUAUAACAAGUUUAAACUAAUUCACCCACAGAAGAAAUGUGAAAAGAAAGUGAACAUGAACAUUGAUAACAAUUCAAAACUGCAAUGUUGAAAUAGGAAAAGAAUUAUUUCAGCCAUAACCCGACUAGUUUAGAAGUAUUCGUGCUGAAACAAGGAGAACACAACACCAUUGGUAUUAAAUAUGAGCAACAUCCAUUUCAAAGUUUGCGCAAAAGCAGAGGAGCACCAUACUGUGGAUGAAUAUUAAUUGUCACAAGUGGAGCAUGUGUAUAAGACGGAGAGAGUUCGAAGGAGAACUUUUGUAAUAUCAUUGCUAUUGCCAUUUUUGCCUCCAUCAUUGCAAAGUUUUGUCCGAUGCAAACUCGAGGUCCCCCGCCAAAUGGAAUAAACGAGACCUGUCCUUUUGUUGCCUUUGACACUCCCUCACUGAAUCUUUCUGGUUUGAAUUCCUUCGCGUCUUCACCCCAUAAUUCCUUGUCAUAAUGAAUUAAUAUUGUGGGUAUAAUGAGUAGCACUCCAGCUGGUAAACUCAGCUCCCCUAAUUUGACUUCAUGUUUGUUCCUUCUACGAUAUGUUGGUACUGAGGGGAAUAGCCUUAACGUCUCGUGCAAGAUCAUUGUCAUCUAAGGAAAGAAAAAUGUAUUGGAUAAGUUGGAAGUAGAAUUAGUUCACUUCUUACAAAAUUUAGAUGUCAUACCUUUCAGAGAUCUUUUAGUCUCCGAGUAAAUGCCCCUAGGAGACUGGAAUAGGCCGAUAGAAAAUGUGGUUUAUCUGAUCUCAGUGGGAACAAUUUGGCAUUAAUGAUGGGCAAGACGAUAUAACAACUACUUAUUUUAUCGUUGAUUUUACAGUGUUUUUCAUCUUUAAAAUUCGAUCUAUGCAGUGAUCUUGGGCUAUUUUAAGUUAUCUUACAUAAUGAACUGGUGGAAAGUACUUACAAUUUUGAGGUGACUUAGACCUUCCGAAUUCGGUUUUUCAUUUCCGAAGACCUGCAACACCUCCUCUCUGGCACGUGCUUGCCACUCUGGAUGUAGGCUCAACAAAAUCAUUGUCCACACGAGCAACACUGAAGCGGUCUCUUGUCCAGCAAAAUAGAAUAACUUGCAUUCUUCAAUCAUUUCAAUUGUUGUUAUUCCGAAAUCUUUGCUUCUGUGUUGUUCAAUUUCUCUCAUAUUGGAUUCAAGUAAUAUGCCUAAUAAGUCAUCUUUACUAGUUUCCCCUGCUUCCAUUGCCCUCAAUCUUUUGUCGAUGAUACGUCUAAUAGUUGUUUGGACUUGCUUUUCGAUUUCCAGCAUUCUUUUGUUCCUUUUAGUAGGCAAGAACCUAACAAAACAAAUUUAAAAGCAAACAAGAAAAGUGUUUUUAGUAGAAAGGAAUGAACAUGUGGUUUUCGAUGUUAUGUAGAAAUUUCACAAAUAAAUUGUUAUACCUUGUUCCUGGUAUAUAAACUGAACGAAUUAUGUUAAUUACAUACUCAGCUUGUUCUUUCUGAAGUUCAAAUACUAUUCUCCCUUCUUCAUAGCUACUCCCAAAUGCAGUUCGAGAAAUGACUUCAGCGGUAAUUAAUUGAAGGUCUGGCCAUACAUCGAGCUCGAAAGAUGUUUCCUUUGGAAUAAUCUCCUCCCAUUUGCUUAUCAUUUCGCUACAACUCUGGUAAAAUGCUGGCAACAUAUGCUGUACAAAAGAAAUUAAUCUCAAAAAGGUGGUUCAAAAGUUGCUAUAGAUUUCAGGUUCAAAUCUCAGGUGUGGCAUGCUUGCAUUGUUUUAAAUCCACUUCACGUUGUUUGUUACUGCACUCGUGGACAUAAACGGACAACUUCAUAAUGUUAAGACAUUUCAAUAUGCUAUCUUAAGUUCUAAGCAUGAAAAUUUACCAAUGUUUGCUAAAUCUAUUAGUACUAAGAAUAUGAAGUGAAUAUAACCUUUAACUUCUCAAGUUGGAAAGCAGGUUGGAUGAUCUUUCUGUGUUUGGCCCAUUUGUCUUCCUCAAGCUUCGCAAGACCUAGAGCCAAUUUCUUGGCAAAUGGAUUGGGAUGAGUUUGCCUUUGGUACACAUAAUUCUUUGUCAAAAUCUCCUUUACAUGUUCAGGGUCUGUGAUCAACACUACUGGAUAUGGGCCUAGCCACAUAAAAGAACUUUUACCUGAGAGUAAUCCAUUUCGAUUAGAAAAAAAAGAGGCAAAAUACAUCAACAUACACUCAAAUUUAAUCCCAACUGACAAGCAAGCACUCCAACUUCGAGAGUGCACAUAUGUUGACAUGUUAACCAUACAUCUUUUUUACUUUGCCUGAUUUGGUGCAAGAAAACACAGGCAAGUAAGUUAUCAACUAUGAAUUCAUAGGGCUCUAAUUGCUUAGGUAAUUGCAUCAGUCAACUAUAGUCUUUAGUUGAGAUCAGGGGAGGAGCAACCACAAAACGUAUUGGUUCAUGUGAACUAUGUAGCUUUUGUCAAGAUCUUGUUUAUUAUAUGUAUUUUAGGAACCAUAAAUGUUUGAUCGUAUAUCCAUUUAUAUACACUUAAGGUCCCUAUUAAAAUCCAUAAAUUUCAAAUCUUGGAUCUGCCUCUACUUGAGAGUUCACGGCCCUCUGAACUCAUGGAUGGAGCUAGGGUACCAAAAAGUGAUUCAUCUAGAUCCUCUUUACAAAAAAUUACACUGCAUAAAGACAAGAAUAGAAAAAAUUUAUUCCUUUAAAGAAGAAUAAAUGAAACAUACCGUUUUUAUUGAUGGCGUUGGCGAAAAAAGGGUUGAUUCUUUGAGCUAUACCGUCAGAGAAAUUGAUGGGCUUAGAUUUGGCUUCAUUGAGUUUAUCUGUGAGUUCCUUCAAAUCUCCAUAGAGUAAUUUGUAUGGAUUUCCCUUAAGACCACUCUUUCUUAAGUAUUUCUCAAGUUUUUUUGGCCUAAACCAUGCCCAAUUCAACAGUUUCCAUGUAUAUACCAACAAAACUGCAACAUAAAUUGCUGUUAUAAUUGUGUUGUAAGAAAUCUCCAUGAAAUUAAUAAAAUGCUUCUUUCUAGCUGCUUCCUUUUACAUAGAAAAAAGAGGGGAAGUUAGCUAAUUUAUAACCUUUUAAUUUAUUGGAUUUGACUCCUUUCCAUUUUCCCCAAAUUCUUGAUUUGAUUGCUGAGAUUUAACUAACCAAAGAAAGUCUUUGACUAUGGUUCAGAUAAUAAAUACAUUAUAUAUUUAGUUUCAAAUAUUAUUGUAAUCUCACAAUCUUAGCAACAUAUUAUUAUCUUGUCCAUAAAAAUAGUAAAAAAUAAAGGCAUAAUACAAUAAUAUACCCUUUAACUUUUUUUAAAAAAACCUUUAACUUGGCUUUGGCGGACAUCUAUGCCCUCCAAAUUUAGGUGUACAAAAGUAGAUACUUAAGCUUAUAUGAAAUUGAACAUGUAGCCACAUACAUCUACGUGGCAUAAUACAUGUAGAAUACUACAUAGGACACAAAAUUGCCAUGUAGGACGUCAUGACCUAAGACGAAUGUGUCUAUUUGUUUAGUUUUAUAUAAGCUUAAUACUCAAAAGUGAUUCUUUUUAUAGAUUGAACAAGCUUAUCUCUUCUUCUUCUCCUUUUUCCUUUUUGUUUCAUCCGUUUACACAUAUUAAAUUAAAGGUAUGAACUAUUAAAUCUAAAUAUUACACAAUUUGAUUUUUGGUGCAUCCAUUUUUCAAAAAAAAAAUUAUUUUUAACUUGGACACCCUUCAUAAAAUUCUAUAGAGACAUUUCUAAACCAAACUAUUAGCGGUAGAUGAAUUUUGGAUCAAACUAUUAACGAUAAGGACAUUUUUAGAUCAAACUAUUAAUGGAGUGCAUUUUUGUUCAAUUUCACAUAUUUUAAGGGUAUUUUGACCCUUUUCCAAUUAAAAUAAUUGGACAAUAAAUACAUCCUAAAAUGGAAAAAAAUACAAAUGCAAUAUCGAAUGUAAUAGAUUUGUUAGUCAUUCCUCAUCCAAAAAUGAAGGCAAGACUUACUCAAAGGCUCAAACUCCUAUGUUGAAAAAAUUACUUUGAAUAUACUCUCUCCGUCAUAAAAUAAGUGUCACUUUAGCUGAUCAUUUCACACUUAUUAAGAAAAAUAACAAAUAAAAGAUAUAGUUUACUAAGUUAUCCCUUUUAAUUAGAUUUUUCUUGAGAGUCGAGUACUAUUUAAAGGAAGUAGUUCUUUAAUACAAGGGUGUAGUUGGAAACACAAACUAUAUUUUGUUUUGAAUUCCUAUAUAUGAUUCUUCUAGCAAAGCUCAAGGUAUAUUUGAUAUUCUUUAUACAUGAUUUUUUUUACUUGUGAACGGCUAAUUUUGAGUUUUAAAUAUCUCCCUUAUACAUAUACUUGCUUAUCAUUUUUUUGCGGCUAUAUUAUAAUCUAAUUUUUGUAUCUAUAAAAUAAAAUUGAGGCAUCUAAGAUAAAUUUUAGGGAAAAUGCAUAAGUACCCCCCCCCCCCCCCNNNNNNNNNNNNNNNNNNNNNNNNNNNNNNNNNNNNNNNNNNNNNNNNNNNNNNNNNNNNNNNNNNNNNNNNNNNNNNNNNNNNNNNNNNNNNNNNNNNNNNNNNNNNNNNNNNNNNNNNNNNNNNNNNNNNNNNNNNNNNNNCCCGAACUUAUUUUAUAAAUAAUUUUCUACCCCUUUUUGGCCUACGUGGCACUAUCAAUGAAAUAAUUGUCAACACACGCGGGGCCCAAAAAAUAGUGCCACGUAGGCCGAAAAGGGGUAUACAAUUAUUUAUAAAAUAAGUUCAGGAGGGUAAUAGGACCUUAGUAUAGUAUAAGUGUAUCUCUGAGAUUUCGGGCAUAGGUUGGGGGUACUUAUGCAUUUUCUCUAAAUUUUAUAGGUAAAUGAGUGGGAAUUUUUUUUUGACAAUCUAAAAAUAAUUUUUUUUUUUUUUCAAUCAUGUUAAACCUAAAGGGUAUUUCUUGGUCAUUUGCGUAUCAGUAAGCAUAUAUGCACUUUUACAAUGAGAGUAUAUCAAUUCUGAAUCGCAAAGUUGAGGUAUGAGACUCUUUUCCCUUUAUUAAAAGCAAAUAAGUCGAACAAAAGGUCGGCCCAAAAGUGACCAGCCCAGCUCAAUACCACAAUGUUGAAAUAGGAAAAGAGCAAUUUCUUAAAUAUGAGCAACAUCUAUUUCAAAGUUUGCGCAUAAGGAGAGGAGCACCAUACUGUGGACGAAUAGUAAAUGAUGCAACUGGAGCAUGUGUAUAAGACGGAGAGAGUUCGAAGGAGAACUUUUGUAGAAUCAUUGCUAUUGCCAUUUUUGCUUCUAUCAUUGCAAAGUUUUGUCCGAUGCAAACUCGAGGUCCCCCGGAAAAUGGAAUAAACGAGAAGUGUCCUUUGGUUGCCUUUGACACUCCUUCACUGAACCUUUCUGGUUUGAAUUCCUUCGCGUCUUCACCCCAUAAUUCCUUGUCAUAAUGAAUUAAUACUGUAGGUAUAAAGAGUAGCACUCCAACUGGUAGACUCAGAUCCCCUAAUUUGACUUCAUCUUUGUUCCUUCUACGAUAUGUAGGUACUGGGGGGAAUAGCCUUAAUGUCUCGUGCAAGAUCAUUGUCACCUAUAUAUGAAAAGAAAAAUGUAUUGCAUAAGUUGGAAGUAGAAUUAGUUCACUUCUUACAAAAUUUAGAUGUCAUACCUUUCUGAGAUAUUUAGUCUCCGAGUAAUUAUUAGCCCUCUGAGACUGAAAUAGGACGAUAGAAAUGUGGUCUAUCUGAUAGAAGUUGGAUCAACUUGGCAUUAAUGAUGGGCAAGACGAUUUAACAGCUACUUAUUUUAUAGUGUUAUUCAUCUUCGAAAUUUGAUCUACGCAGUAAUCUUCGGCUAUUUUCAGUUGUCUUACAUAACAAACUAGUGGAAAGUACUUACAAUUUUGAGGUGACUUAGUCCUUCAAAAUUUGGUUUUUCAUUUCCGAUGACCUGCAAAACCUCCUCUCUGGCACGGGCUUGCCACUCUGGAUGUAGGCACAACAAAAUCAUUGUCCAGACGAGCAGCACUGAAGUGGUCUCUUGUCCAGCGAAGUAGAAUAACUUGCAUUCUUCAAUCACUUCAAUUGUUGUCAUUCCGAAAUCUUUGCUUCCAUGUUGUUCAAUUUCUUUCAUAUUGGAUUCAAGUAAUAUGCCUAAUAAGUCAUUUUUACUAGGCUCCCCUGCUUCCAUUGCCCUCAAUCUUUUGUCGAUGAUAAGCUUAAUCGUUGUUUGGACUUGCUUUUUGAUUUCCAGCAUUCUUUUGUUCCUUUUAGUAGGCAAGAACCUAACAAAACAAAUUUAAAUGCAAACAAGAAAAAUCUCUUUAGUAGAAUGUAAUGAACAUGUUAAUUUUCGAUAUUAUGUAGAAAUUUCACAAAUAAUUUGGUAUACCUCGUUCCUGGUAUAUAAACUGAACGACUUAUGUCUAUUACAUGCUCAGCUUGUUCUCUCUGUAGUUCAAAUACUAUUCUCCCUUCUUCAUAACUACUCCCAAAUGCAGUUCGAGAAAUGACUUCAGCGGUCAUUAAUUGAAGGUCUGGCCAUACAUCGAGCUCGAAUGAUGUUUCCUUUGGAAUAAUCUCCUCCCAUUUGCUUAUCAUUUCACUAUAACUCUGAUAAAAAGCUGGCAACAUAUGCU